RNAcentral lists this ribosomal RNA (263 nucleotides) under uncultured bacterium. RNAcentral's name for it is "partial 16S ribosomal RNA". It matches the Rfam family "Bacterial small subunit ribosomal RNA", at positions 524 to 784 of the family's 1533-position model. The record is from RNAcentral.
UACGAAGGGGGCUAGCGUUGCUCGGAAUUACUGGGCGUAAAGGGCGCGUAGGCGGACAGUUAAGUCAGAGGUGAAAGCCCAGGGCUCAACCCUGGAAUUGCCUUUGAUACUGGCUGUCUUGAGUACGGGAGAGGUGAGUGGAACUCCGAGUGUAGAGGUGAAAUUCGUAGAUAUUCGGAAGAACACCAAGUGGCGAAGGCGACUCACUGGCCCGUUACUGACGCUGAGGCGCGGAAAGCGAGGGGAGCAAACUGGGAUUAAGA